UGAAGCAGGGGUCCCGCAUGGGGAUAUUUGCUAAAGAUUCAUCGCUGAUAGAUAGGCAUGCGUUCCAUUAGGCAGUUGGCGGGGUAACGGCCCACCAAACCGACGAUGGAUAGGGGUUCUGAGAGGAAGGUCCCCCACAUUGGUACUGAGACACGGACCAAACUCCUACGGGAGGCAGCAGUGAGGAAUAUUGGUCAAUGGCCGAGAGGCUGAACCAGCCAAGUCGCGUGAGGGAUGAAGGUUCUAUGGAUCGUAAACCUCUUUUAUAAGGGAAUAAAGUGCGGGACGUGUCCCGUUUUGUAUGUACCUUAUGAAUAAGGAUCGGCUAACUCCGUGCCAGCAGCCGCGGUAAUACGGAGGAUCCGAGCGUUAUCCGGAUUUAUUGGGUUUAAAGGGUGCGUAGGCGGCCUUUUAAGUCAGCGGUGAAAGUCUGUGGCUCAACCAUAGAAUUGCCGUUGAAACUGGGGGGCUUGAGUAUGUUUGAGGCAGGCGGAAUGCGUGGUGUAGCGGUGAAAUGCAUAGAUAUCACGCAGAACCCCGAUUGCGAAGGCAGCCUGCCAAGCCAUUACUGACGCUGAUGCACGAAAGCGUGGGGAUCAAACAGGAUUAGAUACCCUGGUAGUCCACGCAGUAAACGAUGAUCACUAGCUGUUUGCGAUACACUGUAAGCGGCACAGCGAAAGCGUUAAGUGAUCCACCUGGGG
RNAcentral lists this ribosomal RNA (704 nucleotides) under uncultured bacterium. Its description in RNAcentral is "bacterial SSU rRNA". It matches the Rfam family "Bacterial small subunit ribosomal RNA", at positions 173 to 878 of the family's 1533-position model. The record is from RNAcentral.